Molecule: long non-coding RNA, 4207 nt
Organism: Cyprinus carpio carpio
Lineage: Eukaryota; Metazoa; Chordata; Actinopteri; Cypriniformes; Cyprinidae
Source: Ensembl
CACAUUUUCAAACAACCAUUCUUUCUUUCUCCUUUUGGAAAAUAAUUAGCAGAUAAAUUAGUGGAUUGUUUUGGACAGUUUAGUUGAAGUAUUUUUUUUUUACACAUUUGUUACAAAUCAUCCCAUGUUUCUUUUCUGUUUUAAUGCCAGGGUUCAGAAUAACCAUGUCGUUAUUUUUGAAGAAAGCUGCAAACUAUUCUGUUUUGAAAUAACACAAUAUCUAUCUAUCUAUCUAUCUAUCUAUCUAUCUAUCUAUCUAUCUAUCUAUCUAUCUAUCUAUCUAUCUAUCUAUCUAUAAUCAUGGUAUUGAUACAGGCUUUUAAAUAGAUCUUUCUAAUUUUACCAAAACAAUUUGGUUUGCUUUGUUUUAUAUCCUAUAUCCUAUAAAUGCUUUUUUUAUAUCAUAACCAUAUUUUUUAAAGCAUAAUACUCAGUAAAUGAAUAAACAAGCUGACCUGCAGCCACAUCUGUUAAUUAAGAGCCGGGCCAUCGGCGGAGCCUCGAUCACAUCAUCUCACUCACACCCGGCGCACAAAAGCGACUUGCGUCCCCGCGCUCUGAUUGGACAGUCCGCAGCACGGCGCUCAGCCGAGCCUGUGAUUGGCCGGUCCGCGGCUGACGUCACUGCAGGAGAGAACAUACUGGGCAGGAUGCUGAGGACUGGUACCAUAGCUGCGCGCCCAGCAUCAUCGGCAUCAUCAUAAUCAAUAUAAUCAAUGCUGCUUUGGAGAGUUUGCCACCUGUUGUAAAUGUUUCAGUGUCAACACGCGUCCAGAAAGACUAGAGCGGCUUAUUUUCAGAAGAAAUCCAUUGUUUGGUAAGCUUGAGAGGCACAUUCAGGGAGCAAAGGAGACAUUGUGGAUUACAGACAUGCUGCAUGUUUCGUGUGUUCCAUGUGCAGUUGAUGAUGAUGAUGAUGCCGUUUGCACGGAGAGAUUGAUGAGAGUCUUAUUUCCAUCCAAAAUAUGGCACAAUAAAGUAACAACAACAAGGGCACAGCCAUCAGAGAGAGAGCGAGAGAGAGAUGCUUGGAGGAACAUUGCUACAUCUUCCCUUCUCCGCCUACCCAGAAAGCCCCAGUGCCAUCUGUACCCCUGUGGGGUGCGGGAGAAUCCGUGCCAGUGCCAGCGGCGACAAAACCCUCAUCAGCGUCCUGGAGCCCCGGCACCAACACAGACGGCACAGGGAGGAAGGGAGGCCAUCUUGACGGAGAUCUUACACAAGAAGCUAAGAUGGCUGGGCUGGCACAUGAGAUGUGGACUGAACUCGGUGGAUUCACACUUUGUUGAAAAUGAGACGAAAAUUGACUAAAUAUUCAUCCAGAGAGAACAAUGGGAGCCUCAAGCACCUGAAAGUUUAAGAGGCACAUAAAAUCAUGUGUGUGUAUAUGAGAGCUAAAGUAUUUUGUGUUUAAUAUAAAAGAUUUGUACUGUACAGUAUUAUACAGUAUUUUCAUUAAGAUUAUAUUUGCAUUUUUUACAGUUGCCUAAAGAUAUUUUUCUUUCUUUCAUAGCUAUUAAAAUGAGAAAUAUUAUGUGCAUCUUAUAUACAUAUAGUUUUGUAUUUUUACAUGUAUGUAUUUCCUGUUUUUAUGUUUGUUUUUUUCUGAUUUUUUUAUUUUGAUUUAAUUUUAUUUAUAAAUAAAAAAUUAUACUGUAUAUUGUAUUAUACGGAUGAAUAAAACUGUGAUUCAAAAGUGAAUGAUAUGAAUCAGCUUUGUAUUUGCAUUUUAUUGACGUCAGAUUGUGUCACACCUGGCAAGCCACUGAAGAGUUAAUUACUGUGAGUUAAUUAGCUUAAUUUGUAGGCUACAUAUAAAACACUUGUAGCCUAUAUUUUUUAGAAUGAUGUUCAUCCCGAAGGUCAGAUUUCAACGUGCAUCGUUAUGAAAGGUCUGUGUUUUAGUUACAAGGUUCUAAAUAAAAUAUUUUAAUAAGAACCCUUGAAAUAUAAUAAAUGACUUUAGCACGAUUAAUUUCCAAUCCAAUUUUGUUUUAAAAAUUUAAAAUAGAAACACACAUCCUGCAAAAGUGAUGUAAUUUUUCGUGAAAACGCCAGUGUUAUAAUUUACUAUGAAUUGAAAUGGCUGUAAUUAGAUAUAUGUAUUGUUUUUGUUUUAUUUUUAUUAUAAAACCACACACACACACACACACACACACACACACACACACACGCGUAUAAUAGGGCUUGGGCGUCGUGACGUCAUUACUUGGCGUGGCCGCCAUGCUGAUGGCCUCCUUUACUGCUACUCGGACUACUGCGCAGUGUUUAGACAUACUCCCUCUCAGCCGUGUGUCUUAAUUUGAUUAAUUAAAAAUCUAUUUCAACCAUGGUAAACCGUUGCUGUAUUGUGGGGUGUAAUAGCGCAACACAUAAUCGCCCUUUGAAAAAAAAUGGAUUAACUUGCCACUGCUUUCCUGCUUGGAGGCGCGACCACGGAGACCAAGUGAGGUAUAAUAUCUGAAUAUUAAUUUAUAUAGCUUAAGUAAACACUGAAAAUAAGGGAAAUUUCCUGGGCUACUCAUCCAAAAAACCGGAAAAUUUCUACAUUCAUCUUUCUGUUGCUGUCCCUCUGCUGACAGCAAAAAUUCGUACUACAAAACUGCUGCAUUAACUAAGCGAGAUUGUGAAGCUAUGUCUAACGUGACUUUGCUUACAUUGGUGUGAAAUCCUGCUCUCACAACAACCACGCUGUUAUCUUAACAAAGGCCAAUAUCACGCUAAGGUUGCUUUCAAGUAACGUUAAGCAAAACGAUGGUUUAAAAAUAUCUGUUUUGCUGGAAGGGCAACUGUGUAGCAACAGGACAACAGUCCGAUGGAAGGGCUAACGGGAUAUUUUACAGGAAAAUACUACAACGGGAAAAGAGCUCAAAUACACGAGAACCCCGGAAAAAAACGGGAGCGUUGACAGCUACUAACUAAACUUUUGAAACACAUAAGUUAGUUAAAAGUACAUGUGAAUGGUUGUUAGCACUAACGGUAACUAAACUAGCAACUAGGCGGAGUGCAGUUUACCUUUGUCUGGAUUACUGUAUACUGUUUGCCGGCUUUAUGAUCUGCAGCUCCCUAACCCAUCCAUUUGUGAACUGCACAUGAGACUCCAAUGACUUGUAGCUUCGGAACUGUUCUGAAGUGUAGGCGCUCACAAAACAAACAAGGUAGCCGAAGAUAUCUGUAAUGCAAAAGUGCGGCAGCAACUCGUCGUCGGUGCUCCACUCUUUGUUGGGAUUUUCAUAUUGAUCCAAACCGUUAAUAGUGCCGAUUUUGUCCACAUACCGAUCCCUGGCAUCCCUACUUAGCGUAUCCCUGUAAAUCCCACAACCUUUUCGCGAUUUUAACAUAUUUUUUCUUUCUCCCAACUCUGUUUCUUCUCGUUCGACUUGCUGUAUGUUUACAUUCACGACGCCAUCAACAUGGCCGCCACGUCCCAGAAUGCAACGCGGCGCCCAAGCCCUAUUCUCGUUCAGGCUAUAGCCUAUCAAUUUCUCUAAUUCCUCGUGGGUUCAUGCAAAUGACUGAGAAUUUCUCUAUCAGUGACCUCUGUGCCAGCUAGCAGUAAGUGUUAAUUAGCCAAUGAAUAGAGGAGAUGUGAAGACCACGCGAAUUCACUAAUCCUACUAUGGCGAAGGAUUUCCAAUUCAUAUUCAUAAACGAAGCUUUCGACAUUUGGAAGGAUACCGAGCAACGUCAGCACGACCCACUUAGUAUUCAAGACACAAACGCUCCUCAUUGGAAGGUUACGAAUUAACGUCAGCGAAAUCAAAUAAAUAUUCAAGACAAGCUUGCACCAUUGGAAGCUGUAGCAAGAGACGUCGAAGGGCCUACUUAAUAUUCAAGAGCUAAGCUUUUGCCAUGGUAGGAUUCAUAAAUUCUCGUCAAGGAAAGGAUUUUCGUAAGAGACACUAUAAAAUAAGAUGUGUAUAUGUGUGUACAGCUGUGGAAAUGAAGAAGAAGAAAAGAUCUGCAUUAUUAAGUAGCCUACCUUUACAUAUAAGGAGCACAAACGCUUUUAAAAUAUGUUACUAAUUAUGUUAUUUAAAAGAAAUGUAGCUUCUGUGUCCCUCAGUAUCCUUCGUUGACAAAAUAGACCAAACGUAAAUUAGAUUCACGUUGAUUAACAAUAUUUCAGAUUAUUAAAAUGAUGGAAGAUUAUAGACUGUAUAAGAACUAUCACACUUUUCAAACACCAUAGACAAAUGUGAUCUUG